UACGAAGGGGGCUAGCGUUGCUCGGAAUCACUGGGCGUAAAGCGCACGUAGGCGGAUUGUUAAGUCAGGGGUGAAAUCCUGGAGCUCAACUCCAGAACUGCCUUUGAUACUGGCGAUCUCGAGUCCGGGAGAGGUGAGUGGAACUGCGAGUGUAGAGGUGAAAUUCGUAGAUAUCGGGAGGAACACCGGUGGCGAAGGCGGCGACCUGGGUAGAUACUGACGCUGAGGUGCGAAAGCGUGGGGAGCAAACAGG
Molecule: ribosomal RNA, 253 nt
Filed under: uncultured bacterium
Lineage: Bacteria
Description: partial 16S ribosomal RNA
Rfam family: Bacterial small subunit ribosomal RNA
Source: RNAcentral